CUGGCACAGCUGUCUCGGUGGACAUCUCAACUGUUUUGUGCAGUUGGUGCACAUUUAUUGAAAUUAUCUGACAAAGAAUAUAAAAUCUGCGGUGAGGUACAGAUGACAGAGCAGCGGUUUCGGUAAUUCAUCCGUAAUCCUCUGUUUGCAUCCCAAUGGGUCAAGGAGCUUUGAGGCGCUGUUAUACGUGAUUGUAUCUCCAUCAGGGUCACCUUGCACUUGCAUAAAAACAGGGUUUAAUUGUUCUCUUCCACCAGUCUCCCAUCAUCUUUCUUUUUGUUUUCUUCCAAGGGAUGUUGAGUGGAAGGCUGAUGAGAAUAAUCUACAUGCCAGAGAGAGAAAGAGAGAGAGACAAGAAAAGAAGGAAAGACGGCGCAGCAAAACUUUGAGAUGGGAGGUGAUGAUGCAAGUCAGAGGCAAGAUGCCUAAUACCCCCGGCUAACGAUCCAGCAACUGGAAUGCAAACCCUCGAGUCACUUAAACACAUGCAUCAAAGAAAGGAGUCAACAACAGUUAUGAUACCAGGAGAUGGCUUCAAAGCAGUGACGAAGGCGCUGGAUCCCGAUGCUAAACAAAGUGUGGUCUGACCUUCAACUACACUUCAAGCACAGGAGAAAUAAGGUCAAGCGGCAGCUCAACCCUACAUCAUUCACCAUGGAGAGAGACUUGAAACUCCAGCCUUCAAUGAGCAAAAAGCGACUCACAAUCUUCCACAAGAGAAGAAAAAAAGUAAACAGCACUGGGGGGAUUCUUGGAUUACGUAUGAACAGAUUGACGAUCCUCAGUUUCAUCGACAGAGAAAUAUCUGUCAGCUGCCCUCAAACACAACACCCUUUAAUCCCUUCACCCUCCUAAAAACAAAAAGAAUCAAGGAUGAAUAAAUAUUAGGAAAACAUUAGCUUUAUAAAUAAGGCUACAUAACUGAGCUUUAUGUGAGUGGAAAAGCUGAAACAGAGAUUGUUUGCAGAUCUGACCUCAUAAUUGAAACUUUGAGUAUCCAUCAACUCACACACUUUCCCCAAAAGAGCCUCUCUCCCUCAGUCACCCAACAUCUGAACAAUUACACGAUCACCUUUAUUUGCUUAUAGAUCCAUUUUCAUUGAUGAUGCUAACAUUCUCGCUGACGUCUCUCAGUGAAUCCUGUGUUCUAUGUUUACAUCCAGAGCCUAUGACACGGUUUGUACAGUAUUGUAAUAUAUUGGUUUAACUCAGUGACCUGCAUCCAGAUUAAUCACAUGCGCUGCCAGUGCAAAGUGUCUGCGGUCACUGCUUAAUGGUUUAGAAAAUAUCCAAAAACAUAAUCCUCCUCAUACUCAGCUUCAUCGGGC
Long non-coding RNA from Oreochromis niloticus (Nile tilapia), 1328 nucleotides. RefSeq lists it as uncharacterized. The record is from RefSeq and is a predicted model, not a curated record. NCBI's taxonomy places the organism in Eukaryota, Metazoa, Chordata, Actinopteri, Cichliformes, Cichlidae. The transcript has 3 exons.